RNAcentral lists this non-coding RNA (29 nucleotides) under Mus musculus (house mouse). The record is from RNAcentral. Lineage: Eukaryota; Metazoa; Chordata; Mammalia; Rodentia; Muridae.
UAACUUGAUUGGCCAUAGCAAUUCCUGCG